RNAcentral lists this ribosomal RNA (233 nucleotides) under uncultured bacterium. Its description in RNAcentral is "partial 16S ribosomal RNA". It matches the Rfam family "Bacterial small subunit ribosomal RNA", at positions 524 to 754 of the family's 1533-position model. The record is from RNAcentral.
UACGAAGGGGGCUAGCGUUGUUCGGAUUUACUGGGCGUAAAGCGCACGUAGGCGGGAUCGUUAAGUCGGGGGUGAAAUCCUGGAGCUCAACUCCAGAACUGCCUUCGAUACUGGCGAUCGUUGAGUCCGGAAGAGGUGAGUGGAACUCCUAGUGUAGAGGUGGAAUUCGUAGAUAUUAGGAAGAACACCAGUGGCGAAGGCGGCUCACUGGUCCGGUACUGACGCUGAGGUGG